This 425-nucleotide ribosomal RNA is filed under the name uncultured bacterium. RNAcentral describes it as "bacterial SSU rRNA". It matches the Rfam family "Bacterial small subunit ribosomal RNA", at positions 356 to 773 of the family's 1533-position model. The record is from RNAcentral.
GGGGGAUAUUGCACAAUGGAGGAAACUCUGAUGCAGCAACGCCGCGUGAGGGAAGAAGGUCUUCGGGUUGUAAAGCACUUUUGUCCGGAAAGAAAUCCUUGGCUCUAAUACAGUCGGGGGAUGACGGUACCGGAAGAAUAAGCACCGGCUAACUACGUGCCAGCAGCCGCGGUAAUACGUAGGGUGCGAGCGUUAAUCGGAAUUACUGGGCGUAAAGCGUGCGCAGGCGGUUUGCUAAGACCGAUGUGAAAUCCCCGGGCUUAACCUGGGAACUGCAUUGGUGACUGGCAGGCUAGAGUAUGGCAGAGGGGAGUAGAAUUCUACGUGUAGCAGUGAAAUGCGUAGAGAUGUGGAGGAAUACCGAUGGCGAAGGCAGCCCCCUGGGCCAAUACUGACGCUCAUGCACGAAAGCGUGGGGAGCAAAC